This is a long non-coding RNA of Mastomys coucha (southern multimammate mouse), 647 nucleotides long. RefSeq lists it as uncharacterized. The record is from RefSeq and is a predicted model, not a curated record. NCBI's taxonomy places the organism in Eukaryota, Metazoa, Chordata, Mammalia, Rodentia, Muridae. The transcript is spliced from 2 exons.
CCUCUUCCUAGCUGCCUGGGAAGAGAGUCCUCUCUCCUGGCUACCUUUGGAUGAAGAUGUAGAACUCCGGGCUCCUCCAGCACCACGUCUGCCUGCACGCUGUCAUGUUUCCUGCCAUGAUGAUAAUGGACUGAACCUCUGAAAUUACUGAGAUGUUUCCAUCCUUAGAAGAUAUGUCACUGAUGCUUGCCAUCACUGGAGUCUGAAGAGACAGGACAUGUAGCGAUUUAAGGGAGGAGGAUGUCCUUGGUGCACAGUUGGAAAGGAUACAGUCGGCAGUGGCAGGAAAGGCCAGGCGCCAGAGUGCGGGAUUGAGAUGCCAAAGCUUCUCGAAUGUCAGGGAACAAAACGUGGAAACUAGUCAGGAAAAACAGCUGGGUAAUAGACCUCAAGGCCUGAUCCACUUCCUCCAGGCUAGCCCAGCCUGCCAACGGUCACACCUUCCCAAAUCAGCACCACCAGAUGGGAACCAGACAUUUGUGUGCACGAGCCUGUGUGCUCACGAGCCUGGGUGCUCACGAGCCUGUGGGGACUUGUACAACCCAACCAUAGAGUAAGCCUGAGCCUCCAGCUUCCUUUCCAAGCUUCAUAUUCUUUCACUGAGGACUAGGAUUGGGUUAGGCAGUAAAAUAAAGUUUAUACAAGAU